AUGGCGGGGGUUCUGGAUGCUUUGGCAUCUUACGUGACCAGCAUGCUUGCCGAGAUGGCCAAAGAGGAGGUGGCCAUGCUAAUCGGCGUAACCGAUGGGAUCAAAGACCUAAGCAUCAAGCUUGGGGACCUCAAGAAUUUCCUUGCUGAUGCUGAUAGGAGGAACAUUACCGAUGAUAGUGUGCGGGGGUGGGUGGGCGAACUGAAGCGUGCCAUGUACUUGGCCACUGACAUCGUCGACCUAUGUCAGCUCAAGGCCAUGGAGCAAGGUCAAACAAAGGACAGGGGGUGCCUUAACCCUUUGCUCUUUUGCAUGCGGAAUCCACUCCACGCCCACGACAUCGGCACCCGCAUCAAGCUGCUCAACCAAAAUUUGGAUGAUAUUUGCAAGAGGGGCAGCAGUUUCAAUUUCAUCAAGCUAGAAGCCUACCAAGACCAAAAGACCACUCGGUCUCCCGCCACUGACCGGAAAACAAAUGCACUGAUUGAGCGGUCCGGUGUGGUUGGAGAGAAGAUCGAGGAGGACACGAGGGCACUUGUGGAGGUGCUUACAAGGGAGGCGGUAGGUGACAAGAGUGGUCGCCUCAUUGUGGUCGCCAUUGUUGGUAUCGGAGGGAUUGGUAAGACUACCCUCGGCAAGAAGGUCUUCAAUGAUGAGGCCAUCGAAGGCAAGUUUACUAAGAAGAUAUGGCUUAGCAUCACACAAGAUUUCACCGAUGUUGAGUUGUUAAGUACGACCAUCACUGCCAUUGGGGCAGAUCUUCCUGGAGGGGGUGGGGCUCCAGACAAGGCCCUACUUGUCGAUGCUCUCAAGAACGCCAUCAAGGACAAGAAGUUCUUUCUUGUACUAGAUGACCUGUGGGAUGUCGAUGCAUGGAACAAACAUCUAAUGACUCCCUUUAGCUAUGGUGGCCCCGGUAGUAGAGUCCUCAUCACCACCAGACAUGACACUGUAGCCCGAAGCAUGAAAGCCUUUCAUCCCUACCAUCAUGUUGACAAAUUAGCUCCAGAAGAUGCUUGGUCGUUGCUCAAGAAGCAGGUACUCACAGGAGAGGAAAAUGAACCAGAAGUUGAUAUGCUAGAAGAUAUUGGCCUGCAGAUUAUAGCAAAAUGUGAUGGCUUACCACUUGCUGUAAAAGUUAUGGGUGGACUCCUAUGCAAGAAGGAGAAAACACGACGUGAUUGGCAAGACGUCUUGAAUGAUGAUAUGUGGUCAGUAUCUCAAAUGUCAAAGGAACUAAAUUAUGCCAUAUAUCUUAGCUAUCAGGAUUUGUCCCCUUACUUAAAACAGUGCUUCUUGCACUUCUCCCUCAAACCAAAAAAGACAGUGAUAAAUGAUACUGAAAUUGUGUCCAUGUGGGUUGGUGAAGGAUUGGUUGAAGGAGACACAUAUAGUCGUAGUUUGGAAGAAGGGAAUAAGUACUAUAAGGAGCUAAUAGUAAGGAACCUUAUAGAGGUAGAUACAGAUUACCCUAGUCAACUUAUUAGCAACAUGCAUGAUGUCAUUCGCUCAUUUGCUCAAUUCGUAGCUAGGGAUGAAGCACUGUUAGUUCAUAGUGGAGAGACCAUUAAAAAAAAACUUGGAGCUCAAAGUUUUCUUAGGUUGUCUAUAGAAACCAAAGGAGUAGAAUGCGAUGAAUUUGAGUGGAGGUAUUUAAGAGAGCAGAAAUCUCUUAGGACACUGAUAGUAACUGGAAACCUCAAACUUCAGUCUGGUGAUUCAUUGGUUACCUUUUCUAGUCUACGGACUCUACAUAUUGAAUCUGCAAAUAUUGCUGCACUGGUUGAAUGCAUGUACCAACUCAAGCACUUGAGAUAUUUGUCAUUAAAGAGGACUGAUAUUUGUAGACUACCAGAGAACAUCCAUGAGAUGAAAUUCCUACAGCAUAUUGACCUUGAAUAUUGUGAAAGUUUCAUGAAACUUCCUGAUAGCAUUAUCAAGCUGCAAGGCUUGAGAUAUCUUGACAUGGAUGACACACGUGUAAGUAGUAUUCCUAGGGGUUUCAGAGCUCUUACAAAUUUGAGUGCACUCUUUGGGUUUCCAGCCUAUACUGAUGGUGACUGGUGUAGUUUGGAAGAGUUGGGGUCUCUUUCCCAGCUCAAUAAACUUUCUCUAGAGAGCCUAGAAAAUGUAUCUAGUACCUUGUUGGCUGCAAAGGCAAGGGUAGAUGCAAAGAAACAACUCACCUCUCUUGGUUUGAAAUGUGGUGGUAGAGUGGGAGAUGGGUUGGUCCAAGGAGAAGUCUCUGAGUCUAAGGAGGAGGAGCAAAUAAUUGAGGCGGUGUUUGAUGUGCUCUGUCCUCAGCCUUGCAUAGAACACAUCAGCAUAGAAAGAUAUUUUGGUCGUCGGCUGCCAAGAUGGAUGGCGUCCACAGCUAUGGUGCCCCUUGAGAGCUUGAAGAUUGUAGCCCUCGAACACCUGCCCUGCUGCACCCAACUCCCAGAUGGCUUGUGCAGGCUCCCGUAUUUGGAGUGGAUAAAAGUGGACGGGGCUCCAGUAAUCAAGUGUAUUGGUCCUGAAUUCGUUCAACAGUACAAUCAGCUGCACCGUCCUUCAUCUCAGUUGGCUGCUACGUUUCCCAAACUCCAGAAGUUGAGUUUUUUCUCAAUGGAGGAAUGGGAGGAGUGGGUUUGGGAGACAGAAGUGAAAUCUAUGCCCUUAUUAGAGGACCUUCGUAUCACUUCUUGCAGACUGGGUCGUAUGCCUCCAGGACUUAUGUCUCAUGCGAUGGCGUUGAAGAAGCUAAGAAUAUGGAACGUCCAAUGUCUCCACUCUCUAGAGAACUUUGUUUCUGUAGUUGAGCUCGACCUGUAUGACAUACCUGAAUUGGCCAUGAUCUCCAAUCUUCCAAAAUUACAAAAGCUUACAAUCGAGUAUUGCCCAAAGCUCGAGAUGCUGCAGGAGAUGGCUGCAGUCCGGAGACUCGAGCUGAGAGUUUUCCGCUGGGAAAAUCAACUUCCAGUCUACCUGCAAACUGUGAAGCCUAGUCAUUUGCUGCUGACCUGCAACCUAGCGGUACUCACUUCCAUGGCUGAGGGUGAAUCUAGCUCCGAGUGGGACAAGUUCAGUCAUAUCAAGCACGUCGAGGCUUAUGCAGAGGAUGGAGGAGAUGAGAAGAAAUGGCACAUCUUCUACACAUCUGAGUCCUCCAACAUGGAGACAAAUAUUCAUCAGGAUCGAUUGGUCGAAGAAGAGGAGUAG
This 3201-nucleotide ribosomal RNA is filed under the name Triticum aestivum (bread wheat). RNAcentral describes it as "partial small subunit ribosomal RNA". Lineage: Eukaryota; Viridiplantae; Streptophyta; Magnoliopsida; Poales; Poaceae. The record is from RNAcentral.